Molecule: small nucleolar RNA, 86 nt
Filed under: Mesitornis unicolor (brown roatelo)
Lineage: Eukaryota; Metazoa; Chordata; Aves; Mesitornithiformes; Mesitornithidae
Description: Small nucleolar RNA SNORD121A
Rfam family: Small nucleolar RNA SNORD121A
Source: Rfam by way of RNAcentral
GUCCAAAAUACAGUGAUAAUGUCUUUUCCAAACAUAUAUCUGAUAGCUCUGUGUGGAAAAUGACUGUUACUGCAUGAUUUUUGGAU